UCUCUGGGGUGUGACGUGUCUGCUAGAUCACACCUAUGACCAGUGAGCUGUGAGAACUCUGGUCUAGGGAGUCAUCUAGGCAAUAAAAAUUGUCAGCCAUAAAGUAUCAACGAUGGCUGGACUCUAGUCAGAGCAUCAUAUUUGUGGUUAUGUGCACUCAAGUUGAUUCCGACCUAGAUUACUUCUAUGCAAACACUACAAUGUAUUUGGAAAUGGAUUUAAACAAACUGGCCUCGCUGUACAGCACCAACAGAAACACCCCAGAAACCAAUAUCUACUGAUUACAAAUUGGAACCAAACCAGGAACUGCAGUAUCUGUGGCUAGACAACCUCUGGAAAAUGUAGUUUUUUUUCUUAUCCUAACCACUGAGUUGUGCUGAUGUGGAUUUUCAUGUCCAUUUGGAAUCAGUGCUGGACUGUGGCAGGGCACAGGAAAUGUAAAUGAAAGAGUGGAAAGUGAAAGCUCCCGUGGGAAUAGCGUGGUUUCUUUUGCCAGAAGAGUAAUUAUUUACCUUUUGGCCAUGUGUGUUUUGGCAUUCUUUAAAGUGCUUCAGCACGAAGGUUGUCCCAACAAGAGAGCUGCAGGUCUCAGAUCUGAGCCCUGCAUGGGAUAUGUUCUGAUUGGCAGCAAUGCAUUCUUUGACUUGAUUUUCUGAGCUCUCGCAAGGAACUGAUGAAUAGGUGCUACAGUCGUAAACUGAUGACAGCAUCCAACACAGACAUACACAAGAGGGGUGACAGUGCUCUUGAUGGAAUCGAAUAACAAAGUAAAUAGAAAUGGGACUGGUGCAUCAAGUCUUGGCUCCCAGUGGGCUAUGGCAUCAACAAUUCUAACUGAAACAACAAAUGAAAGGUACAGAAUGGUGAUGGCUGUGAUGGUGACAUCAAGUUUCUCAGAAUCUCUCAACUUUGCUUUUCUCUGCAUUCGUAUAAAAAGCGACAGAGUACAAAAUAUCAUGAUGGGAAAGAAAAUCAAGAUAUUGACAAAAAUUUUAAAAAUAAUUGCACCAUCACAAGAGGGGCCACUUUGAUGAUGAGAUACAAGGAAUCUCGGGAGGCAUGAAAUAUAUACCACAAGUGACACUAUGCAGGACAAGGCCCACAAAAUGACGGACACAAUUACUGACAUAUGCUUUGGUCGAUGAUGAUAGUAACAGACUGGCAUAAAGACCAUGAGGAACCUUUCAGUACUCAUAGCAGUAAAAAAAUAGAUACUAGCAUUGUAGCUUAUUAAAUAAAAAUUCUCCAUUACACGUGAAAAAUACAAAUCCACAUUAGUUGAUACCAAAAAUAAAAUGAAAACAGUAAGGUAGUAGAUGAUCACAAUAAGAUCCGCAAUGACCAAAUUGAUGACAUAAAUUGUGAACCUAGUUUUCUUUGUCUUGGUGCAGAGAAUCCAGAGGGUAAUUCCAUUCCCAAGGAAUCCCCAAAUGCAGAUUGGGAUAGAUACAAAGACAAUUGUUUCUAGGAAAUAGCUUUUCUUUGAUCCCAGGAAAUAGCCUUUCUUUGGCCAAGUUUCGAGUUGUGUGAAAUUUUUUUUAAUCAGAGCAGCAGUCUCAGAAAACAAAGCAGGUGAGUCUGUCAUCAUGACAAUGUCCAAUUGUUCUUCUCAAUCUGCCAAAAAUCAAACAUAAUGUGUUACUAUUAUAACAUCGUAUUGUGGAAUAGAGACAGAAAAUCCAAGACCACCUGUCAGGCAAAGACAUUUGUGCUGUAACAUCCCACUCUCAUAGCUGCUGCUUAGGAAAAAAUGACUUGGAAUUAAUUGUCUCUCUAGAUCAGUGGUUCUUAACUUGCGGGUCCCAGGUGUUUUGGCCUACAACUCCCAGAAAUCCCAGUCAGUUUACCAGCUGAUAGGAUUUCUGGGAGUUGACCAAAACAUCUGGGGACCCACAGUUUGAGAACCACUGCUCUAGAACAUAUGUGUUUUAGGGUUUUAGAACAGGAAUGGGAAGGCGAGGGUGCCAUAUUGGUCCCUUGGGAGACUGAGGGUUACACACUUAUAUCCAUGUAUGCUCUCCUUUAAAAAAAUAUCCGCAAAAUGACCACAAAUACUUUGUAGAAGGCAAGGGCACAACUUUCCAAAGUUAUCCCCCUUUGAGUUAUUUUAAGCCAUUUAAAAACCCAAGAGAAGCCCCACCUUUUAAAACAGGCUGUUAUCUUCUAUUCAUUUCCUCUUUCAAAAGAGGAUUAAAAUGACGCAUGGCUCCACAAAAGAUUGUGAACUCGGGAAUCAUUUUUCACAGUCAUAGUCUAACUAACACUCAAGUCAACUCAACUGUUUUAUGUUUUAUUGUAUUGUUGUUUGUAUUGGCAUUGAAUUUUUGCCAGACUAGUAAGCCGCCUUGAGUCCCUACGGGUGAGAAAGACGGGAUAGAAAUGAUGUAAAUAAAUAAAUAAUAAAUAAAUCACUAGACUUGACUCUAGUUAAUUCAGA
Long non-coding RNA from Anolis carolinensis (green anole), 2437 nucleotides. RefSeq lists it as uncharacterized. The transcript has 2 exons. Lineage: Eukaryota; Metazoa; Chordata; Lepidosauria; Squamata; Anolidae. The record is from RefSeq and is a predicted model, not a curated record.